CCCUUAGAUGUUCUGGGCUGCACGCGUGCUACAAUGGCGCUUGCAACAAGUCUUGCCAACCCGAUAGGGUGAGCGGAUCUUUGAAGAGGCGUCGUGAUCGGGACAGUUGAUUGCAAUUAUUCGACUCGAACGAGGAAUUCCUUGUAAUCGCGAUUCAUCAUAUCGCGCUGAAUACGUCCCUGCCCUUUGUACACACCGCCCGUCGCUCCUACCGAUUGAGCGAUCCGGUAAAUGUUUUGGAUUGGUGCCGGGGCGGCUAGCUGCCGGUCGCUACGAAAUUUUGUGAACCUUAUCGCUUAGAGGAAGGAAAAGUCGUAACA
Molecule: ribosomal RNA, 320 nt
Filed under: uncultured eukaryote
Lineage: Eukaryota
Description: partial 18S ribosomal RNA
Rfam family: Eukaryotic small subunit ribosomal RNA
Source: RNAcentral